AUUGAACGCUGGCGGCAGGCCUAACACAUGCAAGUCGAGCGAGCGGCGGACGGGUGAGUAAUGUCUGGGAAACUGCCUGAUGGAUGGGGGUAACUACUGGAAACGGUAGCUAAUACCGCAUCCCAUCAGAUGUGCCAAGAUGGGAUUCGCUAGUAGGUGGGGUAACGGCUCACCUAGUCGACGAUCCCUCGAUGGUCUGAGAGGAUGACCAACCACACGGGAACUGAGACACGGUCCAGACUCCUACGGGAGGCAGCGUGGGGGAAUAUUGCACAAUGGGCGCAAGCCUGAUGCAGCCAUGCCGCGUGUGGGAAGAAGGCCUUCGGGUUGUAAAGCACUUUCAGCGGGGAGGCGUUACCCGCAGAAGAAGCACCGGCUAACUCCGUGCCAGCAGCCGCGGUAAUUC
Molecule: ribosomal RNA, 406 nt
Filed under: uncultured bacterium
Lineage: Bacteria
Description: partial 16S ribosomal RNA
Rfam family: Bacterial small subunit ribosomal RNA
Source: RNAcentral